UGAGUCGAGCGGAUGAGAAGAGCUUGCUCUUCGAUUCAGCGGCGGACGGGUGAGUAAUGCCUAGGAAUCUGCCUGGUAGUGGGGGACAACGUUUCGAAAGGAACGCUAAUACCGCAUACGUCCUACGGGAGAAAGCAGGGGACCUUCGGGCCUUGCGCUAUCAGAUGAGCCUAGGUCGGAUUAGCUAGUUGGUGAGGUAAUGGCUCACCAAGGCGACGAUCCGUAACUGGUCUGAGAGGAUGAUCAGUCACACUGGAACUGAGACACGGUCCAGACUCCUACGGGAGGCAGCAGUGGGGAAUAUUGGACAAUGGGCGAAAGCCUGAUCCAGCCAUGCCGCGUGUGUGAAGAAGGUCUUCGGAUUGUAAAGCACUUUAAGUUGGGAGGAAGGGCAGUAAGAUAAUACCUUGCUGUUUUGACGUUACCGACAGAAUAAGCACCGGCUAACUCUGUGCCAGCAGCCGCGGUAAUACAGAGGGUGCAAGCGUUAAUCGGAAUUACUGGGCGUAAAGCGCGCGUAGGUGGUUUGUUAAGUUGGAUGUGAAAGCCCCGGGCUCAACCUGGGAACUGCAUCCAAAACUGGCAAGCUAGAGUACGGUAGAGGGUGGUGGAAUUUCCUGUGUAGCGGUGAAAUGCGUAGAUAUAGGAAGGAACACCAGUGGCGAAGCGACCACCUGGACUGAUACUGACACUGAGGUGCGAAAGCGUGGGGAGCAAACAGGAUUAGAUACCCUGGUAGUCCACGCCGUAAACGAUGUCAACUAGCCUUGGAAUCCUUGAGAUUUUAGUGGCGCAGCUACGCAUUAAGUUGACCGCCUGGGGAGUACGGCCGCAGGUUAAAACUCAAAUGAAUUGACGGGGGCCGCACAAGCGGUGGACAGGGUUUAAUCGAAGCAACGCGAAACCUUACCGCUUGACUGCAAAAUUUCUAAAUGAUGGGCCUUCGGGCUCUGACCUGCAUGGUUCUCCUCGAGAGGUAAUCCUAAGCCUGCACCCCGGUCUUCGGAAA
This 1009-nucleotide ribosomal RNA is filed under the name Pseudomonas sp. YSA5_2H3. RNAcentral's name for it is "bacterial SSU rRNA". It matches the Rfam family "Bacterial small subunit ribosomal RNA", at positions 58 to 1082 of the family's 1533-position model. Lineage: Bacteria; Pseudomonadati; Pseudomonadota; Gammaproteobacteria; Pseudomonadales; Pseudomonadaceae. The record is from RNAcentral.